Pogoniulus pusillus (Red-fronted tinkerbird) is the source of this 1564-nucleotide long non-coding RNA. RefSeq lists it as uncharacterized. The record is from RefSeq and is a predicted model, not a curated record. Lineage: Eukaryota; Metazoa; Chordata; Aves; Piciformes; Lybiidae. The transcript is spliced from 2 exons.
UUGGUGCCGGGCAGGCGUGCGGGAAUAAGCGCUGUCCGCCGCGCUCUGCGCAGCCGCCGUGGCAGAGGGCGAACUUUGCGCGGCGCUAGCGGCCCCAUGGGGCUUCGCUUGCCAAGGCACAGGUCAGGGACACCGCCAAGCCCCAGGGGUGGCGAGGACACCCUGCAGCGCCCAUCUCUAGCGCCCUGCGAAGAUCUGCCAGGCGCAGUCUCCUGCCUCGCAGCGAAGUCGUACCCACCGCGAGCGGGGAGCGGCCGGGCUGGGACAUGGCAGCGAGUGAAUAAACGAAAAAACAAACAAAAACCUGCCGGGACCUGCGCCUGCUUCACACGGGGCCGAUGCGGUGUGUUGCACCGCUGCCAGGGACUGCGCUGUCGCACCGCCCUGUCACCUCAGGGUACCUUGGUCACGGCUUCGAGUCACGCUCUACCAAGUGCAACACCAAAAAGAAGUGUGAAAGCUUAGUCUUGUCUCUGCUUCCCUGGCAAUGCCUGAGCGGUACCAGGCGCUGUGCGGAUGGGCACAGGUCUCAGCCAUUUGGGCAGGGUCUGGGGAAGCCUGAGGAACUGGCAGACCUGGAGUUUACCACGUUUCAUGAAGAAAUCGCUUUGUCUCCUUGCAAAGUUAAAUAUGAGAGCUGGUUUUCAAAACCUUCAUACCUCACUGUGCUUGCUUCCCAGUUGCUCUCAGUAGUUUGCAUGAAUAAGUGGCCUGCUGCACUUAAACAAAGCCCCCCAAACACACACUCAUCUUUUCCCUUUGUAUGUCAAGAAACAGCAUAAUGAUAGUAAUUUCAACAACUUCAGUACAAGCAGCUGUACACCCAGUAGCAGUCCCCAACUGGAAGUAAUUGACACAGCUUGUGCCAACUUGAAACAUGGAAGGAUCUGCUUCCUUGUGCUUGCAGAAAGAGGUGAAGCCUAGAGAAGUAGAAUUGUAGGAAGGCAAAUACACAAAAUUAAUUCAUAAUGCCUUCCCCCACCCCUCCCCAAAUUCCAUUGAGCUGUAAGGUCUUUGAUAGCUUCAAAAACACUGAAAUAGCUUUCUAUCAGGAUUUUUUUCACAAAAAACUAUUACAACAUAAAGGCAUCAAUUUUUACUGUCCAUACUGUUCUGUGCUAUUGAUGCUGAAGUGUUCUGCUGAACUGAACUAAUUAGGAUUAAUAUCCUGACCCAUGAUAAUUAUGAAAAAAGGCACAAAAUAAAAUUAAUUCCUAUUUUUUAUGAGAGUAAAAGGACCACAUAAUGAGGGACAAGCAAACAUAUUUUCAUAUUUCUAACAAAGGUAGCCUACAGCUGGUGCCUACAGUCAGUAACUAAUUCAUAGAUCCACAAGGCAGCCAAAGAUGUAGCCACAGCUGGGAAAAGCAUGUCUAAAUUGGCUUUCAACUUUCUACCAGGGAUUGAUGCUAACUGGGUGUAACAGUGUUGCAGGUCAUGAGGCAGUGCAUGUGAAUCCUGAAAUCAUUUGUUGGCAAAAUUAUAAACCAGGGUAGUGGAACAGUAAGAAAACAGGAUAAAGACAGACUGUCUUCCAGUACAACAAGAUUUCUCAUGUAUACAA